Molecule: ribosomal RNA, 442 nt
Filed under: uncultured bacterium
Lineage: Bacteria
Description: bacterial SSU rRNA
Rfam family: Bacterial small subunit ribosomal RNA
Source: RNAcentral
GAUGAACGCUAGCGGCAGGCUUAACACAUGCAAGUCGAAGGGUAUAGUUCUUCGGAACUAGAGACCGGCGCACGGGUGCGUAACGCGUAUGCAAUCUACCUUUCACAGAGGGAUAGCCCAGAGAAAUUUGGAUUAAUACCUCAUAGUAUAAUGAGUUGGCAUCAACACAUUAUUAAAGUCACAACGGUGAAAGAUGAGCAUGCGUCCCAUUAGCUAGAUGGUAAGGUAACGGCUUACCAUGGCUACGAUGGGUAGGGGUCCUGAGAGGGAGAUCCCCCACACUGGUACUGAGACACGGACCAGACUCCUACGGGAGGCAGCAGUGAGGAAUAUUGGACAAUGGGCGCAAGCCUGAUCCAGCCAUGCCGCGUGCAGGAUGACGGUCCUAUGGAUUGUAAACUGCUUUUGUACAGGAAGAAACACUGGUUCGUGAACCAGCUUG